Molecule: signal recognition particle RNA, 295 nt
Filed under: Peromyscus maniculatus bairdii (prairie deer mouse)
Lineage: Eukaryota; Metazoa; Chordata; Mammalia; Rodentia; Cricetidae
Description: Metazoan signal recognition particle RNA (ENSPEMG00000004985.2)
Rfam family: Metazoan signal recognition particle RNA
About the family: The signal recognition particle (SRP) is a universally conserved ribonucleoprotein.
Source: RNAcentral
GCCGGGCGCGGUGGCACACGCCUGUUGUCCCAGCUACUUGGGAGGCUGAGACAGGAGGAUCGCUUGAGUCCAGGAAUUCUGGGCUGUAGUGCACUAUGCCGAUCGGGUGUCCGCACAAAGUUCGGCAUCAAUAUGGUGACCUCCCGGGAGCUGGGGACCACCAGGUUGCCUAAGGAGGGGUGAACCGGCCCAGGUCGGAAACGGAGCACGUCAGAUAUGAACCCUGGCCAUCCCUCUUUACCAUCCCCAGAUGAAAGGUAAACUUAGAAAGAAUAACCAGCAUGCUCAAAUUUCU